GUUUGGUUUCUUCCAGAUUCCGGAUUCCACAGAUGUCUCCCUUCGAAAAAAGGAAGCGGUGGCCUGACUGGGUUAUUUAUGCGUGUGGCCUCAUACAGUAUCUGCCUUUGUUCCACAGAGCAGCAGCCUAAAGACCUGCUGGGAAGGGGCACUGUGUGCUCAGCGGCUCGCACAGGAAAUUGGAAAUCGGAGACACCGGGAUUGACCCACCCCCUCCUCUGACUCAUGCUUAAACAAACCCAACACACCCCCGACCUUUGCUCCCCGCAUCUGCAGCAGGUCUUACACACCAGCAGCUCCCUCUCCCACCUUUGCUGGCACAGGGCUCACUGGCUCACUGAAGGAAUACACUGUAGCUGUCUUCAGACACACCAGAAGAGGGCAUCGGAUCCCGUUACAGAUGGUUGUGAGCCACCCUGUGGUUGCUGGGAAUGGAAUUCAGGACCUCUGGGAGAGCAGUCGGUGCUCUUAACCACUGAGCCGCCACCUCUGCAGCCAUUUUUUAAAGCUCUUCACCUCAUCUUUGGAAACAGGGUCUCCUGCCGCAUGUGAAGCUCCCUGACUGACCACACCGGAUGGAAUCACAGGAUUCACACCUCUAUCCCUGUCAGGGCUGGAGUUACAGAUGCAUACCACCACCCGGGUAGUUUAAGUGGGCACUGGGGAUCAGAACUUGGGUCUUUACGCUUGUACGGCAAGCGUUUGUCGGUCUCACCCAGAGUUGCUGCCCGUCUUCGUCCCCCGAGGGGCAGGUCACCUCAAGAGCGCUCGUGUGGCCCAAGCCUGUCAGUCUUGGGAAGCUGAUACUCAGAUCCGUUGCUCUUUCCCCUGUUCUUAAGGGUGGCUCACCCCAGCUCUGCUUUCUGAGAAAACAAGGCUGAACUUUGCUCAGCCAAAGCCUAAUUUCCCUGAGGUCUGCUGUUUUGUUUGCCAGCCCUCCUCCCUCCAGCUGCUCGACUGUUGACCAGUCUCCCUCACCCUGCUCUCGGCUUCCUCAGCUCCAGCACCUACUUCUUGGAAGGCAGCCAUAUGGGGCCCAGCAGAUGGAACGUAGGCCCGGUGUUGGUGGCUAUGAUCAGCCAGGCCUGACUCCACAACUGAAGUACCCAGGCAGACUCAGUGGAUGAGCUUGGUACCUCUGAGGCCGCUGGGCCAAGCAGAGAUGACAGUGUGGCCCCAGGACUCUAGCAGUCUAGGAUAGCUUUGCCUGACACACACCUUAGGUUCUUUGCAGGAUGUUAGAACGUAAUGGGGGUGGGGAGUCAGACAGACGCAGAGAGAGACAAACAGUGAUAGACACACAAAGAGGAGAGAGACAGAGACAGAGACAGAGACAGAGACAGAGACAGAGACACAUACAGAGAAAGAAUACACAGAGAGAGAAAGAGACAGAGAGAGGUGUUGAUAGGAAACAAAGACAGAGACACAUACAGAGAAAGAAUACACACAGAGAGGGAGAGAGAGAGAGAGAGAGAGAGAGAGAGAGAGAGAGAGCUGAAAGCAAUGAAUGUAAAGACCAGCCAUCAUGAAGAACUGUUUACUUCUGAAGCCAUUGAGUUCUGAAACUCUCUUCAAACUUUCUUCCUCCUCUUUCCCUUCUUCCUCCUUCUCUCUUCUUCCUCCUCUUCCUCUUUUACUUCUUCAUUUCCUCCUCCUUUUCCUUUUAAUUUUCGUUACAUUUUGUUUAUUUGUGUAUACACCACAUGCACUGUCUACGUCUCUGUGUAUCUCUGUGUGUCUCUGUGUGUAGGUCAAAGGAAAACACUCUUCUCCACCUUGAGAAAACACUUGAGGUUUGAACUCAAGUCAGUCUGGCUUGGCUGCACUUUUACUGGCUGAACCAUCUUCACAGCCUCCAACUUUCUAUCUUUAUAUCUUUCCUGUUUCUCUUGGCUUCUCUUUAUUUCCAUAGAAACGACACUGUGGUCUUUUGGUCAUUAUGCCCUUGUAGACUUUGGGGCGAUCCCUCUUAUAUUUUGAGUCCUCUUCGUUUCUGCCACACCCCAAAUUCUAACUGGUUGCUGCUGUGGCUCCCAAGAAUGUCUAGUACAAGGAGACAUAUUCCAUGACAGUUCUGCUGUGUCACCUAAUACCCUUAUACCACCAGUCUCACCUGAGCCACAGAAUGGGCUUUGAUUUUCCAGAAGCACAUUUAUAAUAACUUGAUGUAAUUCCUUUGUUUGUUUCUCGAGACAGGGUUUCUCUGUAUGUAGCCCUGGCUGUCCUAGAACUUACUUUGUAGACCAGUCUGGCCUCAAACUCACAGAGAUCCUCCUGCCUCUGCCUCCCACAUGCUGGGAUUAAAGGCAUACACCAGCAUGCCUGGCAACUUGAUUUAAUUUUUAACAUUUAAGAAAAAAAAAUCAGAAGCCUGGAUUUUUAGUUUAUCCUGCAACACCACUGGGUCAUUGCUCACUCUGUGUUCACUGGCUGAGCCAAAGAGGCGGCUGCCCUUACAUUGCACCCUGUCUGUUCUGAGUGAUCGCUACAUCUAACCAUGCCUCUCUAGGCUUCGGGAUUGGGAACUAGACACACUGAUGAAUGGGAUUAUGGUUCCUUGUCUUGUUUGCAUGUACUAUAGCAUUGGGGAUUAAACCCAAGACCUCACACAUGCUAGGCAAGCACUUUACCACUGAGCUAUAUGCUCAGCCCCGGUUCCUCGUCUUUAAAAACCACCUCACCGGUGGAGUAUCUGACUUUAGUUGUGCCCUGGGUAAGGUAGUGUCUUCCUGGCAAUCAAUUCCCCCACCUCUGAAGACUCACAGACGACCAUGUUUCUCACAGCUACAUCUUGUCCAGGCCUAGCAAGCUCUUUAUAUCUCCAGGAAGCCUUGCCCCAUGCAUUAUUGCAAAAACGGAGGCCACGUGUCCCCCACUACCUAGACUCCUGUCUUUCCUUCCUCCAAGAUCUCUCUUACCCUUCCUACCUCCCCCCUUCCCUUCUUUCUUUCAAGCCUUUUGAAGAUGUAUGAUAAGCAACCCUAAGACAAGGUUUUAAGAUAAUGACCUCUCAUGUCCGUAUCAGCCUGGUCAAGAAUUAGGCUGUUCACCCUGAGCUUCCCCCCUCUCCUCCCAUUCUGACUCCAGAGGAAAAGUCCUUUGAUUUGCUAUGUUGUUCUGCUAUCAAAAUGUGUUCAUAAAUAGAUGCUUAUUGCAAUUUCAUUCCCAAUCGCCACCGGGAGCUGCUAAUACACAGAACUCUGCGGCUCCACUAGCCCCUGGCUUUCGGCCAUGUUGGAUUCCUUCAUGCCACAGCUGAUUUGACCGGACAUCAUGGUAGAUAUUGAUAGAGAUAUACCAGUGUCUCCCACAGUGACUCUGGGGUUAUCUCAGACAGAUGCAUCACUAUUUGCAUAUUUUUGAGGUAAAUGUGUUCAAUUUUAUGGUACAGCCUCGUGGGAAUUGAACUUUGGUUACAAAGAGAUGUUCUUUAUUCCUAGUAAUGCCAUAUUUACUGAGUCGUUAUUUUGUUUUACUUUUUUUAAAAUGUAUUUAUUAUGUAUAUGUACGCUGUAGCUGUCCUCAGACACACCAGAAGAGGGCAUCUGAUCUCAUUACAGAUGGUUGUGAGCCACCAUGUGGUUGCUGGGAAUUGAACUCAGGACCUCUGGAAGAGCAGACAGUGCUCUUAACCACUGAGCCAUCUCUCCAGCCCUUGUUUUACAUGUACAUGCAUAUCUGUGCAGGUAUGCAUGUGUAAGGGCAGUGCCCAUGGGGACCAGAAGAGAGUGGGGUUACAAGCGAGUGAAGCCACGACAGACUGUUUACACGGGGAUUCAAACUCAGAUCCUCAUGUUUGUGCAGCAAGCUCUCUUACCCAUGGAACCAUUUUCAGAGCCCGGAGAGAUGUUGUUUAUGGUUUGCGUUACUCGCACCACUGGUUUGAGUUUCCAAGUGUGCUCUGUUUUUCAGUCUUUAGUUUCGCCCUGACAGACUUCUCACCUUUACUCUCUUAAGCUUUCCUGUCUUUUCUCUCCAAUAGGCCUUCCCUGAUGUGACCUGGAGGUCUUCCUCUUCAAAUUUGCCUAGAAUUGUAAAUCAUUUUCAACCUCUCCCUAGACACUACAGCCUUUCCUACAAACUCAUCCAACCGUCGUCUACACAGAUGCAGCCUGCUUCUUAUUUCUGCAGCCUUCCCUCUUUUCUAACCAUUCAUCUAGACGGUGCUACUUCUGAGGUGAAAAUUCUUGCUAGGACAGUUUAUCGACCCGUGUGUUUCUUUUCUCCCGCUCCAGAUCCACACUGACAAGCUCGGAUCAGUGUCUCGUCCUGAUGGAUUAGCUUGGCCAGGGCGAGUUUACACCUCACUGGAGAAGUGUGAAGAGGGAUGGGGAAUGGAAAAAAAUAGAGACGCAGGAAGAGAUUUAUGAUGUUUUAAACUAUGCAGCCCAGCCGGAACUUUCCAUAAAAACUUUCUCCUCGCUCCGCCUUUUCCUCCCUUUUAUUGCCAGAAUAUCUGAAUGGGCAACCCAAGCUUGCUGCGUCCAUUGCUGAAACACACGCUUGUGUUUAAAUGGUGGUGUGAGAACCACCCGACUUGCCCAAGUAAGGUUUUAAGAAAUAAAACACAACAGGGCCUUGUAUAGCUCAGGGUGGCCUUCGAGCUCUUUUUUUUUUUUUUUUUUUUUUUUUUUGGUAGCUGAGGAUGGUCUUGAACUUUUGAUCCUCCUGCCUCCACUUUCCAAGUAUUAGGAUGACAGGCAUUCUCCACCCUGCCUGGUUUAUGAGGUGCUGGGGACUGAACUCAGGGCUCUAUGUAAGCCAUGUUCUCAGUUCUAUAGCAGGCUUCGCUUGGUCCUUAUCCUGUCUGGUCCUUUGAAGAGUUUGGAUCUCUCUCUCUCUCUCUCUCUCUCUCUCUCUCUCUCUCUCUCUCUCUCUGUUUGAAACUCUCCUGGGUGCUGGGGAGCUUGAGACUCUAGGGUCUCCCAACCUCUCCUUCCUUUCCAUCUUCCUCAUUUUCUUUAAAGGGAGAACUUCCUACAAUUCCUUGGUCCUCUUUUGGCUUCUCUUUCUAUUUCUCGUUAUAGACUCCUCCCAUCACUUCUUUUGACGUUCAGAGCUAGCUUUCUAGCCAGGGCCAUUCAGUAGGGUUCCACUCUUGCCUUUCUCAGCGACUGCUGUUUAUUUCUUCUGUGUGUCCUAGAAGGCCUUCAAAAAUUAUUAUUAAAGUUGAGUUCAUAGUUUCCACCCACAAACUUCCUCUUUCUUGUAAUCCCUCCCCCAGCCCAUGUGUGAGUAUCAUGAUAUAACCCCUGCUCCCAUAUCAGAUACUUUUACUUUUAUAUCUGUAUCUUCAUUCUGUAGACUUCACAGGACUCAUUCAAGUGUCUAAGUUCUAAAAAAACAAAACAAAACAAAACAGAACCUUAAAAUGGAUAUAUGGAAAAAAGAAGUGUAUUUUAGAAACGAGAAACAUGGGUCAAGUCUAGGUCUGUCUAGGACGAGAGGGUACUACGUGCAACACAUACAUGUCUUGAGUUUGUUCUUUCUCAGCCAUAAAGUGAGAGUAAGGCUCACUAACUCACCAGUUUAUUGACAGGAUUAAAUGGUUUACAAAUAUAUACCAUACAUAUUGGAGAUGGUGUCUUCUAAAUAAUAAGGCUCUCCUCAAGUUCACAAUAACCACUUUCCUCAGUCUCCUGAGUGCUGGGAUUACAGGCAUGAUCUACCUCAUUAACGAAAAUGUUGUUUCAGGAUAUUAGCUCCUUAAGAGCAAGGUUCUGUUCUAGUUAAUCAAUAUAGCCGCACGUGCUCACUGAAUAGUGAUUGAAUGAAUAAACGAACACAGCCUAGUUUCCCUAACUCCAUGCCCAAUGGAAAAGGUAAAAGUGUAGUCUGUCUUGUCCUGUUUAAUGUCUCCUGGUUACAAGCCACCUCUAAUUUGAUGUUUUGGUUCUAUUAUUACCUGGUUGAAUGGCUUAACUCCAUAUCCAAUGACUGCUAAGAAGGGAGAAGAACGCACGAACUUCUAAACCCACUCAGCCUUAGCUCGAUGUUGCUCUCCCGCAAGCUGGCACGCCUGGUUAACUGUCUGGUAGUUUAACGGUGGAGACAACUAACUGUCCUUGGCCACCAGCUCCCAUCACCUCUUUUUAUUUUUGCCUAAUGUAUCUAGGUAACUGUUUCAUCUUUCCACCUCUGAUCUUUAUUGAACAGUCUCUUGGGUUCCAGGCAGCCAUCUGGUCUACCCCCGCCCCCACUCUCAUUUUCUGCUUUUUCCUACUUCCUCCUCUUUGGUCUUAAAGGUGGGGGGAUGCUAACUGUUGUUGUCCUGAAAAACUAGCCCUCAUCUGGAAAGCAGCUUUUCUCCAAACACGCAUCAGGCCUGGCACACCUGUCUGCUGGCGUGGACAUGCCAAGCACUUGUCUCCCUCUUGGCCCAUCAGACACAGCUGAAUACGUUUGGCUGACGCACUGGCAAUUUGGUUAUUCAUUUUCUGCUCUCAGCUGAAAGUAGACCACCUGGCCAUAGCUUGGCUCACCCACUUCCCAGUUCUUUUGGCAGAUGGAGCCUGGCAUCCACAGUGUGUUCCCUCUUUUCCCUCCUUUUUCACUCUUCUCCAUUAGGUAAGUCUCGGGGGGGGGGUGUCAGAGAAUAAAUGGAGACAAGGAAUGGGUACCUAAGGUAACAUAGAAUAGUAGAACAAUCUCAAAAUAUUUUCUUCGGGGUAUAGAGACACACCGUCUCAAUGAGCCCACUUUCUGAUUCAUCUAAGAUUUUGAAACAACUACUUUUUUUUUUUUUUGUCUUUACCAUGAUAGACUGAAAACAAAGACACUAAGGAAACAAGAAUGAUGGUUCCUUCUUGGCCAUCCUCUUUGAGGGUGUUAAAGAAGACUGGAGACCCCAUCUUUGUGGUCUUCUUUAGUUUGGGUCCUGUGGUUAGUAUUUCAGAACCCUUUGUCACCCUUGGCUACAUAGUAAAGCUAGCUUGGGCUACCUGAGACUCCGCCUCAAAAGAACCACAACAAAUUAAUAAUAAUAAUAAUAAUAAUAAUAAUAAUAAUAAUAAUAACCUGGAAUGAGGCUGUGCAUGGUGUCUGCACCAUCCUGCCCACACUGGGCUCAUCUUUUGCUGCUUUGCCUUGAAUCAAAACUUCUGUCAGAAACAGCGCCACCUUCCUGGAGACAGUGAAAGCACCCCAUGAUGACCACAGUCAGUAACUGUGUCAAGAUGACAUCAAAGGCCUUUUGUUCUUCUACUCCAGGCACUGAAUGACCACCAUAAAACCUGAAACUUUAGGGGAAAAGCUUUGACAGGAUAGCCCUGCACCAUUCCUCAACUGUGCAGAACACACGCUCAUACCUCCCAAAGGUACCACAACUCUGCCUGGUGACCACCUCAUCCCCCCUCUGAGCCCCUGACACAUCCAGAUUGUCCCCGUCUGAAAUGAAGACCAUAGCUCCCAGAGGACUCCAUAACUUAUUGAACCCAAACACCCUCAGCCCCAUUGCUGGCUUUCAUUGUUCACACAAGGGACAUGACUGGCCUCUUGGCAGAGAUGGGGGCGCAGUGAGUAUUGAAGGAGUCUUUUUUUUUAAGAUUUAUUUAUUUAAUGUAUAUGAGUACACUGUAGCUGUUUUCAGACACACCAGAAGAGGGUAUCCUCUUCAUCACAUCACAGAUGGUUGUGAGCUACACUGUGGUUGCUGGGAAUUGAACUCAGGACCUCUAGAAGGGCAGUCAAUGUUCUUAACUGCUGAGCCAUAUCUCCAGCCUGAAGGAGUCUUUAAUACACAUUCCCUUUCUGCUAUUUGCAUCCAAGUCUAAGCCAUUCUGUCAUUAUUUCCUUUAAUAUAUCUGCAAUAAUCAUGAUAUAAUUAAUUCAAGAUGAAAUAACUAAACUGUCUCAAGGUAUAGUAAAAAUCAGAGCCCUAGACCCUCGACAGUAACUUGGAUCAAAUGGCUGCCUGUAGUGCUAAUGAGUCCUACUGUAAUAAACAUACGUAAUGAUUUCUUUUUUUUUUCCAUCUUUGGAAAAGUUUAAGGGAGAUUAGGAGUCAAGUAGCAUUAGCCCUUAAAAAAAUAGGACUAUCCAAGAAGAGACUAAAAGGUAGAAGUAUGGUUCAGUUAGUAGGGUGCUUGUCUUGUGAGCACAAGGACCUGAGUUCGAUCCCUAGAAUCCAUGUGAAAAAGGAUGAAGACAGCAGAUGAGUGAUGUCUGAGGCCAUUCUAGCUUACAGGUAGUCCAGAUGUCAGCAGCUAUGCUAAUUUACAGGUAGACCAGAUGUCAAUGUCUAUUCUAGCCUACAGGUAGACAAAUGUCAACAGCCAUGCUAGUUUACAGGCAGACCAGAUCAGUGUCCAUUCUAGCCUACAGGUAGACCAGAUAUCUGCAGCCAUGCUAGCUUACAGGUAGAUCAGAUGUCAGCAGCCAUUCUAGCUUAUAGGUAGACCCUGCCCCCAAAACCCUGAGUAAUGACACCCAAGGUCAUUCUAUCUUCCACAUGCAUGUAUACCUACCUACAUACCUACCUACCUACCUACUCAUACAAAAACACAAUUUGGCAGUAGAGAAGAUAAGACUAAGACCUGGGUCUGAUGAGUCUUCCUGGGUUCAAAUUUUUCCUGCUUUUAGGGAAAGCCUCCAUGUAAUCUCUAUUUCUCCAUCUGGUGCUAGAUAUAGAAGCCAAGGCCUUGUAUAUACAAGGCAAUCAAUCCUCUAUCAUUGAACCACAGCUCCAGUCCUAUUCAAAGUCUCUUAAAACUUCCCAUGAACAGAAUCAUGUUUUCCUCUUUUAGGUAUGAUUUGAGCAGGUUGUGCUGAUACAUCCCAGGACCUACGAGGGAGGAUCAAGAGAUCAAGGUCAUGUGACAGCCCAGACCUUUGAACAACUGACCCUGUGAUGCAAGUUCCACGCAGGUUGUACCUCAGCUCAUAGGCAGCACCCCUUGCCAAAACUAAAACAAGGGCCUGGUCCAUUAAAGCCCACAUAUUUCUGGGAAGUCUCUAAAUGUGUUAACUCUGCUUUUUAGCUUCUUGAUAACUGUUUUUGUUAACCAAAGUAUGUCAACCAAGAAUAUGGGUUUUGUGUUUAAAAGCUCACCUAGAGAAAGGCUUAGUACUACACUGGGAUUCUGAACACUUACUGUAGUCAUUGACUGGCCAAUAAAGGCUUUCUAUUGGCUUAAACCCAUGUCCUAGUGUUCUUCUUUGGUGGAUACCCCACAACACUUAUCCUCAGUCGCACAGUGAGUUUGAAGUUAGUCUGAACUAUAUGAGAUUCUGCUUCAAUAAAAAAAGUGAUUUUGAGUAAAAUAUGCUUCAUAGAUUAUUUUUUUACUGAGUCUGUUUUUCUUUUCUUUCUUCCUUCCCUUUUUUUUUUCUUUUCUUUUUUAUUGGAGGAGUGGGGCAGGGUUUCUUUGAGUAGCACUGACUAUUCAGGAAUUCAUUUUGUAGGUUAGGCUGGGCUCAAACUCACAAAGAGCUACCUGGCUCUGCCUCCCGAGUGCUGGGAUUAAAGUGCACCCCUACUGCCUGGCCUUGUUUUAUUUUGAGACAGGCUUCUCUAUUUUGUAGCGCUGGCUGUCUGGAACUUAAUACACAGACCACGCUGGCUACAAAACUCAGAAAGAUCCUUUUGCUUCUGCCUCCCAAGGGCUGAUUAAAAUCAUGGGCCGCCACACCCAACCUCAAUCAACAGUCAGGGAGACAAAUAAACAAGAAAACAUCAUCUGAUCUGGGACUUAAAAUAUCCAACAGAAACUAGAGAAGUUGAGGCCAACAGCUGGAUUUCUGAAUGUGCUUUCUCUGCCUGGUCAAGCUCUGGGCUUCUUCCCACUGUGGGUGUUUUCAUACCAUGGGAUAACCACUAGUUACCUCUGCUGAAAACAGCUUCCUUCUGGCUGUUCUCAAGAGUACAACGUUUUCACUCUUGGGCUGUUUUGUUGAUGUCUUUUCUCACAGAAUUAGAGACCAGUUCUACCCAGAGAAGAGCCUCGGAGGACACCCUGAGACAGAUGUACUGUGUCUGAAAUGGGGAGGUGUCCAUUCUGCUUUCAGAACCAGCUUUUCAGUGAGCUCCCAUUUUCCAACCCCUCCCUCCAGUCUCCUCACCCCCUGUUUCUCACCCUGCAACCUGGAGCCUUUGGACCUAUAAUCAGGAGGUCAUGAGACCUGCAGAGGGAGAAUCCAACAUUCAGAAAGUGAAGAAGCCAUCCUCCAACCUGGGACUGAUAAUUAGAACUUCAGCCUUGUGGGUAGGGACAGGACACCUAGCACCAACAUAAAAACAAUGAUGGUCAGAGGCCAACGUCAGUGUCUUAUUUAAUCAUUAUUCACUCUGUUUAUUUUUUAAAAAAUUAAAUCUAUUUAUUUAUUUGGUAUGUAUGUCAUAUAGGUAACAUGCAGGUAACAUGUAGGUAACAUGUAGGUAACAUGGCAGGCAGGCAUGCCAUGGCACAUGUAUGGAGAUCAGGGGACAAUCAGCUUGGAGACAAGCACCCUUACCUCAUGAGCCAUUUUGCUGAUUCCGCCUUAGUUUUCGAGACAGGACCUUUCCUUGGAGCCAACUUACUCAGUAAGACUAGCUGACCAUCAAGGUUUUUAUGUAGAUGCUGGGUGUCCUCUCCCUACCCACAAGGCUAAAGUUCUAAUUUUAUCAGUCCCACCCUGGGCUGGAGGAUGGGCUUCUAUUCCUUCUGGAAGCCUUUCUGGAAGUCCAUUCUCUCUCUGCAGGUCUCACAGCCUCCGGGACCCAAAGGCUCCAGACUGCAGGGUGAGAGACAGGAGGGGAAGGGGUGAGUGAAAACAGCUAACACAGGCCUCCCUUCCCAUUAGAGUUCCCUGGGUCAGUCAGCAUAGCCCUGUCCACUCCCUGGGGCUCACCUAGCUGGUGGAGACACAUCUCACAUCUUGGAAACAUGACAUUUCCGUCAGUAGGGGUUAGGGAUACAGUGUUGAAGAAAGAUGACGCCCUUUCUCUCCAACAGAAACGGAAAGGUUCAGGCUCCUAGAGUAGCAAUCACAAGCACUAACUGAACCUCUUCCUUUCCCACGACACACCUCUCUCUUUGAUGGAUGGGAGUCAUCUCUCAGCAGCUUUAGAAAGGCUGGUUGGUGAGUCUCAUGGUUUCUUCUGGAUUGAACUUCCCUCGCUGAUUCACGUGUGGUGAUGGCCAAGUGGACUGGACUGGAGCUGCUGAUUCAUGAUUUAGUGUUUGCUACUGAACUGAAUUGCGGAUAUCCUGGCAAUGAAAAUUGGACUUGCCUCCAAAGAACUAUUUGUAGACAGGUCUACCCCCCCUCGCAUCCCCCCCCCCAUGUCCUAAUAACGUUUCUCUUCUACUACCUUGGCAGUUGGAGGGUUAGAGGGGAGGUUAAAUGUUUAUUAAAGUAGGUUGGGAAAAGACUUAUGCCUACAGGCCUAUUUCUUGAUUUUUGGGAAACCUCCACACCGACUUCCAUAGUGGCUGGAUGGUUUCACAUUCCCACAAGCAAUGUAUAGCCCCUUUUUGUGGGAGGAGAGAUUCUGAAGGUGAACAGAUAGGCCCUCAGACACCUCAGGGUCAUUGAGGCCUUGGGUCAGUUGGACAGAGACUGGCCAUAUUGCACCAACAAACACGGGAGUCCCGGGAGCUACUGAUGAGCAGCUUGGGUGGAACUUUGGGGUGACAUCCAGUGGGCAGCUAGCCCUAGGACACCUGGAGACAGCAGAAAGGCCAGGCUAUAGUGUAUCAUGAGACCAUUUGUACAAGAGUAGCCAUGUUCAGAGGAGGCUGAAAGUAGGUGUACUUCCUGGAUUGGAGAGGCCCGGAGAGAGCAAUGGUUCAGGAGCAGCACACCAGGACAACACAGAAGCAUCAUUCAGAGCUCAAGCACAGAUAGAGUCCUGCUUCUGU
Long non-coding RNA from Rattus norvegicus (Norway rat), 11843 nucleotides. RefSeq lists it as uncharacterized. Lineage: Eukaryota; Metazoa; Chordata; Mammalia; Rodentia; Muridae. The record is from RefSeq and is a predicted model, not a curated record.